Molecule: long non-coding RNA, 777 nt
Filed under: Olea europaea subsp. europaea
Lineage: Eukaryota; Viridiplantae; Streptophyta; Magnoliopsida; Lamiales; Oleaceae
Source: RNAcentral
AGAAAAAUACAUAGAUGAGACUCGCAGAGUGAGUCCUAAACCAAAGCAAUGUUGAUCUUUAGUUUCUAACAAAUAUAAACAUUUUUAGCUUCCAACUGGAAAGAGGUACACAAACCCAUCAGUUCAUUACAAGUAAAAAUCAACGUUACAAGCAAGAGUGCAAUUGCCAACACUUUCUAGAUUCACAUAUGUUUACAACGAUAGUUCACACAUACAUUCACUCAUAAUAAUACCACACAUACAAAAGUUUAUGUAAUAACUAGUCCUUCGAUUAAUAUGUACUAAUUAGGACGACCCUUUUGCAUUCCCUUCCACGCUACCUUUUGCCUUGUAGAUUCACUGUAACAAUUCAAGCAAGCAAACCAAUAGUUAGGAAUGCACAAACGAAACUACUACUUGAGAAGAUAACGGAAAUGCAUGAAUUUAAUAUUGAUGAACUUACAGAGAUGUAUAGACAAAAAAAAGUAACAGUUUCCAAAUCUAGUCAAUGUCUCAUUAGUCCCACCAUCUUAAACUCAUUUUUUAGUACACCAUACAAGGUUAAUAAUAUCCAAUAUCUCCAAUAGGCUGCUCUUGGAUUACGUUUGUCUAUUACACUGUUCUUGGACUUGAAGAUUAUGAAAGCAAACUUUACAAUGUGUGAAAACGAUGUCAAAAUUUCAAUGAAUAGAGGCUGCAAAAUUUUACAUUGUUCUCUCUAAAUUUUGCACAGAACAACCAUCAUAUUAUCAGACAAAUUAUCAAACAGACUCAAAUACACUAAAUUGUAAUCCGUAC